Molecule: ribosomal RNA, 411 nt
Filed under: uncultured Leptolinea sp.
Lineage: Bacteria; Bacillati; Chloroflexota; Anaerolineae; Anaerolineales; Anaerolineaceae
Description: bacterial SSU rRNA
Rfam family: Bacterial small subunit ribosomal RNA
Source: RNAcentral
CUACACGAAGAACCUUACAGGGUUUGACAUGCAAGUGGUAGGAAUCCGAAAGGUGACCGACCCUUCGGGGAGCUUGGCACAGGUGCUGCAUGGCUGUCGUCAGCUCGUGUCGUGAGAUGUUCGGUUAAGUCCGCUAACGAGCGCAACCCUCGUCGUGUGUUAUACGUGUCACACGAUACUGCCGGUAUCAAGCCGGAGGAAGGUGGGAUGAUGUCAAGUCAGCAUGGCCUUUAUAUCCUGGGCUACACACACGCUACAAUGGCAGAUACAAUAGGUUGCGAAACCGCGAGGUGGAGCCAAUCCUCAAAGUCUGUCUCAGUUCAGAUUGUAGGCUGCAACUCGCCUGCAUGAAGUUGGAGUUGCUAGUAAACGCAGGUCAGCUAUACUGCGUUGAAUACGUUCCCGGGGUUU